GUGAGUGGCGAACGGGUGAGUAACACGUGGACAACCUGCCUCAAGGCUGGGGAUAACAUUUGGAAACAGAUGCUAAUACCGAAUAAAACUUAGUGUCGCAUGACACAAAGUUAAAAGGCGCUUCGGCGUCACCUAGAGAUGGAUCCGCGGUGCAUUAGUUAGUUGGUGGGGUAAAGGCCUACCAAGACAAUGAUGCAUAGCCGAGUUGAGAGACUGAUCGGCCACAUUGGGACUGAGACACGGCCCAAACUCCUACGGGAGGCUGCAGUAGGGAAUCUUCCACAAUGGGCGAAAGCCUGAUGGAGCAACGCCGCGUGUGUGAUGAAGGCUUUCGGGUCGUAAAGCACUGUUGUAUGGGAAGAACAGCUAGAAUAGGAAAUGAUUUUAGUUUGACGGUACCAUACCAGAAAGGGACGGCUAAAUACGUGCCAGCAGCCGCGGUAAUACGUAUGUCCCGAGCGUUAUCCGGAUUUAUUGGGCGUAAAGCGAGCGCAGACGGUUUAUUAAGUCUGAUGUGAAAGCCCGGAGCUCAACUCCGGAAUGGCAUUGGAAACUGGUUAACUUGAGUGCAGUAGAGGUAAGUGGAACUCCAUGUGUAGCGGUGGAAUGCGUAGAUAUAUGGAAGAACACCAGUGGCGAAGGCGGCUUACUGGACUGCAACUGACGUUGAGGCUCGAAAGUGUGGGUAGCAAACAGGAUUAGAUACCCUGGUAGUCCACACCGUAAACGAUGAACACUAGGUGUUAGGAGGUUUCCGCCUCUUAGUGCCGAAGCUAACGCAUUAAGUGUUCCGCCUGGGGAGUACGACCGCAAGGUUGAAACUCAAAGGAAUUGACGGGGACCCGCACAAGCGGUGGAGCAUGUGGUUUAAUUCGAAGCAACGCGAAGAACCUUACCAGGUCUUGACAUCCUUUGAAGCUUUUAGAGAUAGAAGUGUUCUCUUCGGAGACAAAGUGACAGGUGGUGCAUGGUCGUCGUCAGCUCGUGUCGUGAGAUGUUGGGUUAAGUCCCGCAACGAGCGCAACCCUUAUUGUUAGUUGCCAGCAUUCAGAUGGGCACUCUAGCGAGACUGCCGGUGACAAACCGGAGGAAGGCGGGGACGACGUCAGAUCAUCAUGCCCCUUAUGACCUGGGCUACACACGUGCUACAAUGGCGUAUACAACGAGUUGCCAACCCGCGAGGGUGAGCUAAUCUCUUAAAGUACGUCUCAGUUCGGAUUGUAGUCUGCAACUCGACUA
RNAcentral lists this ribosomal RNA (1239 nucleotides) under Leuconostoc mesenteroides. RNAcentral's name for it is "bacterial SSU rRNA". It matches the Rfam family "Bacterial small subunit ribosomal RNA", at positions 91 to 1318 of the family's 1533-position model. The record is from RNAcentral. Lineage: Bacteria; Bacillati; Bacillota; Bacilli; Lactobacillales; Lactobacillaceae.